Long non-coding RNA from Humulus lupulus (European hop), 1911 nucleotides. RefSeq lists it as uncharacterized. The transcript has 2 exons. Lineage: Eukaryota; Viridiplantae; Streptophyta; Magnoliopsida; Rosales; Cannabaceae. The record is from RefSeq and is a predicted model, not a curated record.
UUUUUACUUAAUGAAUUAUUUAUACAAUUAAAAAUAUAUUUUAAAAUAGAAAACAAAUUAAAUUAAUUUUAAACUAAAAAAAUAAAUAAUACAUUACUUAAUUAAAAAACAUAAAAAUUUAAUUUAAAAAAUAACAUUACAUAUAAAAUAAAUAAAUAAAAAACUAAAACUAAAACUAAAUAACAAAAUUAAAAAAAAAAAUCAUAUAUUUCUUCUUCGUUCCUUCUCCUCCAUCUUGUUCCAUUCUCCAUUUCCAGGAACCUUGACUACUGACCCCAAGCAUCGUUGCCCCAGUCGACCAAGCGCCAAAAGAGCCUGAAGCAUUACCAACCCCGUUCUAGAUUUGGGUCAUCUGAUUUGCGCCGUCGUCAUACUAGAUAUGGGUCGUCUGCGUUGUCACUGAGCCCCCACACCCAGCCCCAACGUCUUUUCCUUCCACCCAUCCAUAGUCGUCCAUGGAAGUCCAUCCCGGAUCUGAGAAGCAAUUGAUAUUCAACACCUUCAACGGGGACGUCAGCUUGGUUGACGGUUUUUUUGGGCAAAAGUAAGGAUGAGGAUGACUUUGAUUUUUUUUUUCCUUUUUCUUAUAUGGUAAUCUCAGAAUUUGUAUGGGUUUUCUAUUUUGGAAAUGAAAUUUUGGUGUUAAACUUUGAUUUUGUGAUAUUUUAGUGAUGGUAAAGUUUGCAAAGAUGAAGAUGACGUGGUUGUGAUAUGGAUUACCCAGAGAUCAAUAACGUGGCGAUAAAGGUGACAAGUGGCAGUGCAUGGUCAGUAAAAGACAUAUUAAUAGUCAAUAAAUACAUUGACUCCUCAUAGUUGUGAUAAAGUGACCCGGUAGACUGAUGAAGAGUUUGGACUGCUUGAAAGAUGUCAUAACCAAGCCUAGUGCAUCCUAGGAGAUCCCAAGGGUGUGGUCCGAGGAGACCCCAAGGGGGUGGUCCUAGGAGAGCUAAGAAAAGUGCAUCCUAGGAGAUCCCAAGGGUGAGGUUCGAGGAGACCCCAAGGAGGUGGUCUUAGGAGAGCUAAGGAGAGUGCAUCCUAGGAGAUCCCAAGGGUAUGGUCAGAGGAGACCCCAAGGGGGUGGUCCUAGGAGAGCUAAGGAGAGUGCAUCCUAGGAGAUCCCAAGGAUGUGGUCUGAGGAGAGCCCAAGGGACUUUGGUCCGAGGAGAACCAAGAGAGUGGUCCUAGGAGACCCCAAGAGAGUGGUCUUAGGAGACCCCAAGGAUAUGGUCCGAGGAGAGACCAAGAAUUUGGUCUUUACGCAUAUGUCCAACCAGUGCAUGGUUGUCCAAAUAAAGAAAUGGCAUGCUAGAGGAGAGUGUCAUGUUAGAGGAGAGAAGUGCAUGUCCAGCACUUGCAUGUCCUACCAGCAAGUGUGUGUCCGACCAACAUGUGUGUGAUUGACCAGAGUGGAGGUGAGGUGGACCAACUAGCUAGAGGAGGACUAAGUCAAGAUUCCCAGAAAACAACUUCAACAAGAUACGCGGGAAUCUCUCAUUCUUCCCACAAAUGGGGAGUUUUGUUACAUUUUGAAUGUUUUUUGUAAUUUAAAUGUAAUAAAUAUAAUAAAAUAUCCCGAUUCUAGGGGAUAUCGGAUGUAUGACCCUAAGCCUAUAAAUAGAGGGCUUAUGGGAUUAGAGAGGGGCUUCUGCUGCUUCUUUCUAGACUUUUGGGUCUGAGUAUUCUAGAGAGAGAAAAUUUGGGUCUGAGUAUUCUAGAGAGAGAAAGUGCUGGUAUUUGAAAUGAUUCUUGUAUUUAUGCAAUCUGUACUGAAGAAACUCAGUUGGCUCAGUCCAUCUGAUUUUGAGUACAGAUCUAUAAUCACAACUCUAAAUGGAUUAGGCUAUUACCGACUGAUCGGGGCUGAACCACUAUAAAAAUCUUGUGUAUUAUUUACUUUUCUUGAUAAAA